Rhizobium tibeticum is the source of this 107-nucleotide small RNA. It matches the Rfam family "Rhizobiales sRNA Atu_At1". NCBI's taxonomy places the organism in Bacteria, Pseudomonadati, Pseudomonadota, Alphaproteobacteria, Hyphomicrobiales, Rhizobiaceae. The record is from Rfam.
UUGUGAGCCGCGCCAAGCGGACGCGGCGGCGCGAAAGAAUGCCCGGAUUUUUCCGCUUUCCCCGGGUGGCCAACGAAACGGCACUCGAGCUUUCGCCCGUCCGGUUC